This 395-nucleotide ribosomal RNA is filed under the name uncultured Methanomicrobiales archaeon. RNAcentral's name for it is "bacterial SSU rRNA". It matches the Rfam family "Archaeal small subunit ribosomal RNA", at positions 944 to 1338 of the family's 1478-position model. The record is from RNAcentral. Lineage: Archaea; Methanobacteriati; Methanobacteriota; Methanomicrobia; Methanomicrobiales.
UGAAUGAUAGUCGGGCUGAAGACUCUACUUGACUAGCUGAGAGGAGGUGCAUGGCCGUCGUCAGUUCGUACUGUGAAGCAUCCUGUUAAGUCAGGCAACGAGCGAGACCCACGCCAACAGUUGCCAGCUCGUCCUCCGGGAUGGUGGGGACACUGUUGGGACCGCCUCUGCUAAAGAGGAGGAAGGAAUGGGCAACGGUAGGUCAGCAUGCCCCGAAUUAUCUGGGCUACACGCGGGCUACAAUGGGUGGGACAAUGGGUAUCGACACCGAAAGGUGAAGGCAAUCUCCUAAACCCAUCCGUAGUUCGGAUUGUGGGCUGCAACUCGCCCACAUGAAGCUGGAAUCCGUAGUAAUCGCGUUUCAACAGAACGCGGUGAAUACGUCCCUGCUCCUU